Long non-coding RNA from Dipodomys ordii (Ord's kangaroo rat), 573 nucleotides. RefSeq lists it as uncharacterized. NCBI's taxonomy places the organism in Eukaryota, Metazoa, Chordata, Mammalia, Rodentia, Heteromyidae. The record is from RefSeq and is a predicted model, not a curated record. The transcript is spliced from 3 exons.
UGCGAGGCUGCACAGCUGCUCCCCAGGUCCUUCUCACAGAGGAUACUGCUGACGAUCAAAAGAGUGGGCUUGCCGUACCUGAGCUUUAUGCAGAGAUCAACCUCUUGGCUGACCGGAAGGAGGACUCAGAGAGGAGCAGGGGCCAUGGGCAGGUUCCGCAAGUCCACACUGCGUAUGCAUGUAUCCAGGAACCCAGACCAUGAAGAAACUGGAGCAAUGAGGGGCAUUGGCAUGGCAUCCACAUGUAAGAGAAAACUCAUCCUUCUGAACAUUCAUUCAACAUGAUGUAUUCGAGUACCAUCCAUUUCAUUCUUCUUUAUGGAUGAAUAAUACUGCAUUGUGUAUAUGUGCCACAUUUUCUGGAUCCACUCAUCUAUUAGUUGUAGGGCAUUUGGAUUUUUUCCACGUCUUGGCUAUAGGGAAUGGUGUCAUGAUGAAUGAGUGUGCAGGGGCCUUUACUACAUUCCCGCCUUAAAUUCCUUUGGCUAUAUGCCCAAGAGUGGUAUGACUAGAUUAUAGGUCAGUUCUGUUUUUAGUUUCUGAGGAAGUUCUAUACCAAUUUCCAUAGCAGCU